Molecule: ribosomal RNA, 500 nt
Filed under: uncultured bacterium
Lineage: Bacteria
Description: partial 16S ribosomal RNA
Rfam family: Bacterial small subunit ribosomal RNA
Source: RNAcentral
AUUGAACGCUGGCGGAAUGCUUUACACAUGCAAGUCGAACGGCAGCACGGACUUCGGUCUGGUGGCGAGUGGCGAACGGGUGAGUAAUGUAUCGGAACGUGCCCAGUCGUGGGGGAUAACGUAGUGAAAAUUACGCUAAUACCGCAUACGAUCUAUGGAUGAAAGCGGGGGAUCGCAAGACCUCGCGCGAUUGGAGCGGCCGAUAUCAGAUUAGGUAGGUGGUGGGGUAAAGGCCCACCAAGCCAACGAUCUGUAGCUGGGCUGAGAGGACGACCAGCCACACUGGAACUGAGACACGGUCCAGACUCCUACGGGAGGCAGCAGUGGGGAAUUUUGGACAAUGGGCGAAAGCCUGAUUCAGCCAUUCCGCGUGCAGGAUGAAGGCCCUCGGGUUGUAAACUGCUUUUGUACAGAACGAAAAGGUUUCUACUAAUACUAGGAGCUCAUGACGGUACUGUAAGAAUAAGCACCGGCUAACUACGUGCCAGCCGCCGCAGUAA